This 1589-nucleotide long non-coding RNA is filed under the name Homo sapiens (human). RNAcentral's name for it is "HSALNT0174502". The record is from RNAcentral. Lineage: Eukaryota; Metazoa; Chordata; Mammalia; Primates; Hominidae.
GUUUUCUGAAGAUGGUUUUGUUGGGGUUGGACCUAAUACCAAAGGACAGACAGAACAGAAGAGCAAAUUCUACCUUGCAUCUGCAGUAGCCAUCUAAGCGCCAAGACUGCAGAGAGCAUACUGAUAUUUUUGAGGCGAGAUUCAGAGAGCAAGUGGAAGCUUUAUGACACAGGACUCAUUCCUCAACCACUCUGAGUAGUGAUAGCUGGCAGCAAUGAGGGGUGUCCCUCAUCUGAAGAGAGCCUCCUUGCCAAGAUUGUGCAACCUCAGUGCAACAACCAGCAGAUGCAGACAUAUCAAGGCCUGGCCCUGCUGCCCACUUUCAGCACCACUCCAAAGAGCUCUCCCAGAGCUAAAGCUUCUGUGGAAUUGGCUGAGGCCUUUUUGAGAAGGGACCACAAUUCCACUCUGUCAAAUCCUGCUUCCCUCGUGUUCUCCAAGGACUUCUCUAAUAAACUUCCUGCAUAUAAGCCUCCAAAUCCGAGUUUGCUCUGGAAAUACUGGUCUAUGUCUGUAUGCAACUCCUGAACUACACAGGGAAAAAGAUACCUGAGUCCGGGGCCAGCAGGUGAAUUCCUAAGCAAAUGUGUGGAGGAUCACAUUGGAGGAGAGGGCAAGUAAAUCCAAGCCCAUUAGAGGAUUCAGGUCCAGCAGAUAAUAAAGGACUAGACGCAAGGACUGCCUUUGAAGGAUAAGAUUUCAGUCCUGAGAGAAAGGGGCAAGCAAUAGCCUUAGGCAUAAAUGAUCUAGAUUCCUAAGUAAGCCCAGUGAUUCAAGUAUAGGAGAAUAAAGAAUGCAGGAAGCUAAUUGUUAGAAAUAAAAAAAGCAAGGCAGAAUAGAGUAAGCAAAGGGUCAAAGAAGCUGAGCCCUCAAUCUCUGUCUGGAUCUAGAGAUGCUUAAAUUCAUUCUCCUAAAGGGAUUCCAUGGGUUUUGGGCAGGACCUACAAGGGAGAGCGUAAUGACAAGAACUAUGGAUAUUUAGGGAAAAGGAGCUGAGCUCAUCACAAAACUUGAGGGUUGAAGAAUAAAUGACAGCAACUGGGUUUAAACCUCAACAGGACCUGACAUUUGUGAAGGCAGUUUGUCUCUAAGAUGUAAAUUUGUGUGGUUACUCUAUGUGCAUAACCCCCCACUCAAAUGAGAUCUCACCAAAUGGUUUUUCAUAACACUGCUCUUUCCUCUGUUUAGAUCUAAAGUUAUUGUUUUGCUGUUGGUGUGAAGUAUUCCUUUCCUGUAAUUCCUUUUCUAUGGUUCUUUGAUGUCCUGACACAACUUAACAAAUACUUAAUACUUUAUUAACUUAAUAAUACAAAAUAAAUAUAAAUAUCAAUGUGGUUAACAGAAUCUUAGGAAAUGGGAGUGAUGGCAUACUGCUCAAUUCACCUCCUAAAUGGACAUUCUAAACAAAUCAUGAUUUAAAAAUAAAGAGAAUUUUUCCCACAUGUUGCCCCUGUGACCACCAUUUUAAUUUGGAGAUGUGUGUAUUGGGAGGUCUCCUCCCAGAUUCUCUCUGUGAGCAGUUCUCUGCAUCUUGUGCCAUUCCUAUUGGCAUCUCGGUGCUUAGAAACUUCCCCAGUGGGAGGCCAGGC